This 1657-nucleotide long non-coding RNA is filed under the name Homo sapiens (human). RNAcentral's name for it is "HSALNT0390658". Lineage: Eukaryota; Metazoa; Chordata; Mammalia; Primates; Hominidae. The record is from RNAcentral.
CCAAAUAAGGAAAUAAAAGCUGGCCACCCAAACUGGUAGAGGCAACUGCGCUCAGGUCUCCUUCCGGUGUGUGGGUUGUUUGUUCUUUUGCUCUUCGCAGUAAAUUUUGCUGGUGCUCAGUCCUUGGGUCUGCACUACCUUUAUGAGCUGUAAGACUGACUGUGCAGGUCUGCGGCUUCAUUUCUGAAGUCAGCAAGACCAUGAACCCACCAGAAGGAAGAAACAAACUCUGGACACAUCUGAACAUCUGAAGGAAAAAAUUCCGGACACACCAUCUUUAAGAACUGUGACACUCACCGCAAGGGUCUGUGGCUUCAUUCUUGAAGCAAUGAGACGAAGAACCCACCAGAAGGAACCAAUUCCGGACACAUUUUGGCGACCACAAAGGGAAAAUCGACUAUCACCAAGCGGCUUGGGUAUGUCCUUAUCAGCAGCAUGAAAAUGGACUAAUACAAAUAUGCUGAGUUAAGUCCUGGACAAGAAACACUUUGCCAACCUCUGGACUAGACUGAGUAAAGCAAGCAGAAAGAUCCAAUUUUAAAAAGAGGUGAGGAAAAUGGGACAACUUGGCUAUGGAGAGAGCAAGAAGAAUGCAACUGAUGUGCACAAAGUUUGAAGACAAAGUUACUCAGUUUAGAUCAGGGGUCCACAACCCCCAGCCAUGGACCAGUACUGAUUUGUGGCCUGUUAGGAACUCAGUUGCAGUAGGAGGUGAAUGCCAGGCCUAAAUGAAUAAAGGCAUGACACUGAGAUUGAAGGCUAGUUCUACUUCAGAACCACAGAGACAUGAGCACCAGCAAGUUUGAGGUUGGAUAAGGAUCUUCAGAACUCCUCAGCUUCAGAUGGUCAAGCACUGCUUCCUCCCUUCUUCAACGGCAUCUCUAGCAUGUAUACUUCCCUUAAAUCCACCUUCGUAGCAUUUGCUGAUGGAAGAGGCACAACAGAGUCCAUGCCUUCACCUCCUCUGGCCAACUCUAAUCAUGAAUCUCCUGUGAAUCAGCUGGGAAACAUGCAGAAUAUGAGAUUGGGGCCCUCAUUCAUACUAACUGGAAUUUUCCUUGGCAAUGGUAGAACAGAAGCUUCUCCAUUCUUUACAGAUGAAUUUGCUUUAAGUAAGAUCUUCCCAGAGUACAAAAGAAAUUUAUUCGGAAAAUUUCAAACUAAUAUGGCCUUCUCACUGGAACUGGAUCCACCAUCCCUUUUGCUCAGUGUCGUCUUGUUUAUGUUUUAGAUCCUUUGCAAGGUGAGCUACACCUCUGAGAGGAGCUCCUGGAAAUUACCAGAUACUUAAUGUUGCCAGCUGUUACAGAUGGAGGUGAUGCACCUUGAUGAUGCAUAAGUACUGAGCCUGAAUCCUACAAAUGGGAAAAGGUGCUCAUAUCAGACUUAUGCAUUAGAUAUCAAACUACAAAAUACAAGUGCAGUUGAUACCUGUUUAGAUGAUGUAGAGCAAGGUAACAGAGUAUGUAUUAAAAGCAAAAAUUCCCAUGAAGCUGAACCGUUACUCUCUGCCAAAACCUCCCACUCUCAAGUUUUAAGAGCCAAUAAACCUUGUAUCUGUACGUUCAGCUUUGCCUUUUUUUUCCCAGGACUGUAAACCUCUGUCAAGGUUUACCAUGUUUCAUUGAUUUUAUUUUUUCUAGCACCAACAUAAUGC